AUCAAAGGGUACAAGAGGCUGCUUUGAAGCUGUCAGGUAGCUUUGAAGGACAAUUUUCCCAGGUUGACGGUUGCAAAUAGGCUGUCAAAGUCUACACACCUCCAUAUUCCUCCCACAUUCUUUCUGCUCGAAGUUCUGAAAUUGUGCAGAUCUAACUGUGCAAUGCGGUGCUCAGAUGCCUUAAACCACCCAGCUACCACUCUGAAGCCCCAGAAAUUGUUUAGGAAACAUACAAAUUUUGUAUUUAGACCCAUUUAGAAAUGAAUUGACAAGUGCAGAUGCUGAGGGCUUCGGCUAGUAACAACUUAACAUGGGUAGCUUUGCCGGCUAUUUUGACUGGGCUAAGAAACACUGUUAUUUUGUGGAAAAUUAAUUGAAGUUGAUUAUAGCACGGCUUUCUUAUUUGAUCCAAGUGUGCAAUGCUUGAUUUGUUUUUUCCUUUCCGCGGUAAUGCUUGAUUUGCUGACGUUUCUGAUGUAUCUUUUCUUUUUUGAAUCUGCCAGCCCGUUAAUUCCUUGUUUUAUGAUUGUGUCAGCGACAACUUACAGCUAAAAUAAAUAGGUAUUCCCUCUAUCCCAAUAUUAUGUACUUCUGUAAUUUUCAUGGAGCUAUGAAAAAUAAUACAAAUAUCUUCGCCUCUUAGGACUGGCUGACUUUGUUGAUGUUGGUCACACAUGUGCUGUCUAGCUGUUUAUAGAGCACCUGAUUUUAUCAUUAGAUUUAGUGGUCUCUUUUCUACAGUUCUUCCAGCAACUGGUUGUAUAUGAACUGAUACUGUGAUACUCUAUUCUCCUUUCUGUAAUGAUGAUGCUGUAAUUUUAAAUUCAGCUAGUUUCUUGUAUCUUGCCUUACAUGAGGAAUCAUCAAUAUCUGAUCUUUAUCUUGUUUAAUCUAGGUAGCAGCCUCUGUAUCACUGCAAUCUGACAAAGUGGAGGGCCUAGAAGGUGAAGCUUCUUUUAUGUCUGAACAAGCAUCGGUUUUUAAUUAACAGUAAUCCAUGAUCAGCAACAGUUUCUUUCACUAAUUUUCAGUUAACAGCAAUCCAUGAUAUUUUUUCACCAUGAUCAGCAGCAGUUUUUGUAUUAAAAUGAAUGUAUUCCAUGAAUUUUAAGUUAACAACUGAAUUUACUCCUUUAUUGGCAUUGUCAUGAUUCAGUUAACACUAAAUCAACUUCAUUAAUUUUCAGGUACAGUAUUCUGACGGAGUACCUUCUUCAUAGUGCAGAGGAGCAAAAUUGUUCUAAUCAGCAGCAGCACAGCACAGUCACUUGGAUCAGCGGAAGAGGAGAAUCAGCAGCACGGGCAGAGGAGCAGCAUCAGCUAGUUCUUCAGGUACAAUGGAAAGCAAGCAAGCUUAUAUCUGAAAAAUGAGUUAGCUAGGCUCAGAAUUUUGAG
RNAcentral lists this long non-coding RNA (1395 nucleotides) under Hordeum vulgare. RNAcentral describes it as "long non-coding RNA (HVUL_LNC014730)". The record is from RNAcentral. Lineage: Eukaryota; Viridiplantae; Streptophyta; Magnoliopsida; Poales; Poaceae.